UGGUGGAGUGAUUUGUCUGGUUGAUUCCGAUAACGAACGAGACCACGAGAGGGUGGUUGAGAUAGAGAGGAAUGAAAAUGAGGGAAGGGUAAAGUGAGAUUGGCUUCGGUUAAUCCGCUUUAUUUGAAACUCUUAUUCCUUUCUUUUCUUACCUACUCCGACCGAAGUGUUUUAACACUUAGGAAGGUCGUGGCAAUAACA
RNAcentral lists this ribosomal RNA (201 nucleotides) under uncultured eukaryote. Its description in RNAcentral is "partial 18S ribosomal RNA". It matches the Rfam family "Eukaryotic small subunit ribosomal RNA", at positions 1299 to 1458 of the family's 1831-position model. The record is from RNAcentral.